UGGGGAAUUUUGCGCAAUGGGCGAAAGCCUGACGCAGCGACGCCGCGUGGAGGAUGAAGGUCUUCGGAUUGUAAACUCCUUUUGUAGGGGAAAAUAAUGAUGGUACCCUAUGAAUAAGCCACGGCUAACUCUGUG
RNAcentral lists this ribosomal RNA (135 nucleotides) under uncultured bacterium. RNAcentral's name for it is "partial 16S ribosomal RNA". It matches the Rfam family "Bacterial small subunit ribosomal RNA", at positions 355 to 507 of the family's 1533-position model. The record is from RNAcentral.